GUCAGUGCCACACAGGAGACAGCAUGGACAUGAGGGCCCCUGCUCAGCUCCUGGGGCUCCUGCUGCUCUGGCUCCCAGGUGCCAGAUGCGCUUUUCAGAUCACCCAGUCACCAUCUGUGGUGUCUGCAAAUGUGGGAGGCACAGCCACCAUCAACUGCCAGUCAAGUCAGAGCGUUUACAAGAACAAUUAUCUAGCCUGGUUUCAGAAGCAACCAGGGCAACGUCCAAAGCUCCUGAUCUAUGGUGCAUCCAAUUUAGAAUCUGGAAUCUCCUCAAGGUUCAAGGGCAGUGAAUCUGGAAAAUCAUUCACUCUCACCAUCAACCCGGUGCAGGCUGAGGACGCAGGAACCUACUACUGUUUUAGAGUAUAUAAAGAUCAUAAUGAUACCACAGUGAUACAAGCCUGA
Ochotona curzoniae (black-lipped pika) is the source of this 407-nucleotide non-coding RNA. The record is from the annotation of a RefSeq genome assembly. Lineage: Eukaryota; Metazoa; Chordata; Mammalia; Lagomorpha; Ochotonidae.